This 1345-nucleotide ribosomal RNA is filed under the name uncultured bacterium. Its description in RNAcentral is "bacterial SSU rRNA". It matches the Rfam family "Bacterial small subunit ribosomal RNA", at positions 28 to 1381 of the family's 1533-position model. The record is from RNAcentral.
GAUGAACGCUAGCGGGAGGCCUAACACAUGCAAGCCGAGCGGUAGAGAUCUUUCGGGAUCUUGAGAGCGGCGUACGGGUGCGGAACACGUGUGCAACCUGCCUUUAUCUGGGGGAUAGCCUUUCGAAAGGAAGAUUAAUACCCCAUAAUAUGUUGGAUGGCAUCAUUCGACAUUGAAAACUCCGGUGGAUAGAGAUGGGCACGCGCAAGAUUAGAUAGUUGGUGAGGUAACGGCUCACCAAGUCUGCGAUCUUUAGGGGGCCUGAGAGGGUGAUCCCCCACACUGGUACUGAGACACGGACCAGACUCCUACGGGGGGCAGCAGUGAGGAAUAUUGGACAAUGGGUGAGAGCCUGAUCCAGCCAUCCCGCGUGAAGGACGACGGCCCUAUGGGUUGUAAACUUCUUUUGUAUAGGGAUAAACCUACUCUCGUGAGAGUAGCUGAAGGUACUAUACGAAUAAGCACCGGCUAACUCCGUGCCAGCAGCCGCGGUAAUACGGAGGGUGCAAGCGUUAUCCGGAUUUAUUGGGUUUAAAGGGUCCGUAGGCGGAUCUGUAAGUCAGUGGUGAAAUCUCACAGCUUAACUGUGAAACUGCCAUUGAUACUGCAGGUCUUGAGUGUUGUUGAAGUAGCUGGAAUAAGUAGUGUAGCGGUGAAAUGCAUAGAUAUUACUUAGAACACCAAUUGCGAAGGCAGGUUACUAAGCAACAACUGACGCUGAUGGACGAAAGCGUGGGGAGCGAACAGGAUUAGAUACCCUGGUAGUCCACGCCGUAAACGAUGCUAACUCGUUUUUGGGCUUUCGGGUUCAGAGACUAAGCGAAAGUGAUAAGUUAGCCACCUGGGGAGUACGAACGCAAGUUUGAAACUCAAAGGAAUUGACGGGGGCCCGCACAAGCGGUGGAUUAUGUGGUUUAAUUCGAUGAUACGCGAGGAACCUUACCAAGGCUUAAAUGGGAAAUGACAGGUUUAGAAAUAGACUUUUCUUCGGACAUUUUUCAAGGUGCUGCAUGGUUGUCGUCAGCCCGUGCCGUGAGGUGUUAGGUUAAGUCCUGCAACGAGCGCAACCCCUGUCACUAGUUGCCAUCAUUAAGUUGGGGACUCUAGUGAGACUGCCUACGCAAGUAGAGAGGAAGGUGGGGAUGACGUCAAAUCAUCACGGCCCUUACGCCUUGGGCCACACACGUAAUACAAUGGCCGGCACAGAGGGCAGCUACACAGCGAUGUGAUGCAAAUCUCGAAAGCCGGUCUCAGUUCGGAUUGGAGUCUGCAACUCGACUCUAUGAAGCUGGAAUCGCUAGUAAUCGCGCAUCAGCCAUGGCGCGGUGAAUACGUUCCCGGGCCU